AUUGAACGCUGGCGGUAUGCCUAACACAUGCAAGUCGAACGAGGUAGCGAUACCUAGUGGCGGACGGGUGAGGAAUACGUAGGGAUCUGCCCUUAAGCGGGGGAUAACCCGGGGAAACCCGGAUUAAUACCGCAUGAUCUCGCAAGAGCAAAGAGGGGGGACCGCAAGGCCUCUCGCUUUUGGAGGAACCUACGUCGGAUUAGCUAGUUGGUGAGGUAAUGGCUCACCAAGGCGACGAUCCGUAACUGGUCUGAGAGGAUGAUCAGUCACACCGGAACUGAGACACGGUCCGGACUCCUACGGGAGGCAGCAGUGGGGAAUAUUGGACAAUGGGCGAAAGCCUGAUCCAGCAAUGCCGCGUGAGUGAUGAAGGCCUUAGGGUUGUAAAGCUCUUUUACCCGGGUACUGAUAAUGACAGUACCGGGAGAAUAAGCCCCGGCUAACUACCGUGCCAGCAGCCGCGGUAA
This 467-nucleotide ribosomal RNA is filed under the name uncultured bacterium. RNAcentral describes it as "bacterial SSU rRNA". It matches the Rfam family "Bacterial small subunit ribosomal RNA", at positions 30 to 523 of the family's 1533-position model. The record is from RNAcentral.